This is a non-coding RNA of Sus scrofa (pig), 4075 nucleotides long. The record is from RefSeq and is a predicted model, not a curated record. NCBI's taxonomy places the organism in Eukaryota, Metazoa, Chordata, Mammalia, Artiodactyla, Suidae.
CUAAUGUGCAUCUGAGGUUCGAAAGAUCACAAAUGCAUUUCAGCAUUAAGACUCAUUAAACAGAAGUCUUCUAUUGAAGAGCUCUAGUUUCCCCAUCCUCACCCAACUAAUUUGAAGAAGGACUUUAAUUCAGAAAUGAAGACAAAGAUCAGCUGGGCUUGCAAAGGAAGGGGUGGAGUUCCUAGGAGCUUAUAAAAGCUACUCUGAAGCCUUUCCCAGAGACCUUGUAAGUAGUAGGUAGUUAUGGUGGAAGCACGUCUGUGGCCAAGAGCAUAGAGUAAGGGAAUAAACAACUUGUCUGAUGUUGGGCAAGUUGUAAGGGUCUCCAGAGGUCCAUGUGCUCAUAUGCAAAAGAGAUCUUGGGAAGUCUGGGUCUUGCUAGGUGAGAAGCACGUGAUGUAAUAGGGAAAGGGGACAAUGUGGCUGACUGGAAACUGCAACCCCGUAACAGGAAAGCUUGUGUUGUCAAGCAAGAGAGAAGCCUAGUGCUGGAAGAUGUCCCAUAUUUUCAAGAUGAGAAAAUUCACCAAUUGGGACUUCUACUUGGGUACCACAGGGAGCAGAGUAGCACAUCAGGCAAAACACAGAACCAGCAACAGCUUGGAGGAUGCCAAACCCAGUGACCGCUGGAGCAGAAUUGGGUAGCAGAUGUUGUGUUACCAUGGCAACCAGUGGAUGGCUCCAAAUGAAGAAGGGACUCGAUUUCCAAGGACUGAGACCUGAAGGAGACUUUGACCCUGCCUUUUCCAGAGCUCAGUGGCUUUGGAAAUGGUGGGGGCAAAAGGAGAUAUAAAGGAGGAACUAUCACAAUUUUCUGUCCUCAUUGCUAUUGUGCUGUUGGUAAAAGAGAAAGACACACACACAAAAAUCAACCUUUUGACAAGAAACAUCUUGCCAGCUGUGAAUUAAUGAGUUGCCUUGCCUCCAGGAGACUUGAUAAUUCCCCUAACAGUUGAACUGCUGGCUCCUCCCACAAUCUUCUUCCACUUCGUUCUAUUCUCUGGCUAAGUAAUACUGCAGAAUGACUGCUUGUAAAAGGCAAUUCGCAAGCCACUUCCCUUCCUGCUCUCUGGUUCUCGUAUUUUGCCCUAAAGCAAGGUAUCCACCAGUCUACCACUGCAGGAGCCCAGCGUCCAUUUAGCAUGAUUCACAUACCCACGAGGGCUUCAGCCACCUCGCCAAGCACAAUUAUGCACAUACCUGCCUAGAGACUGAACUGAAUGGAGCCAUAAGACACCAUCUCCAAAUAUUCUUCAUUACCAUUCUACUGUUUCUGUGUGCUCUCAAUUAACUUUUCUCAGAAACUCUCUAAAUUAUCUUGUGAAUAGCACAAUUAUAUUGCAUACUGUUUUAUGUCACAAGCCUUAUUUUUUUCAAGUAUAAACAAAGUAUUUCUUGAUAUUUUAACUGUUUUUGCAUAUCUUUGUUUUUCAUUACUACAUUGUGAACCUCAAAAAAAAAAAUAGCGGGGCUCCCUGGCCUCCCUCAACCUCCAGGAGGCCCUGGAGUCUGCACAUUGUGUUAGGAUGGGCAAAGGCUCUGUGAGCAGGCAGAUUCCACAGCAUUUGUGAACCUUAGCUUCUGCUUCUAGGACAUGGAUCUCCAGAAGCAGUCCACUGGGUUGCAGACAGAAAAUAUUAAAACCUCUAUUUUUCAUUUUAUCCUCUAGAAAUCUAGUUUCUAUAUUUGUGUUAAUGCAUUGGAGUGUGUGUGUGUAUAAUUUUAAAUUUAGUAAAUAUGGAGGUUGAAUCCAGUCAUUUCUUUAAGCAGCUUUAAUUCACAUUUCAUACAAUUCAUCCAUUUCAAGUAUGCAAUUCAGUGAUUUUACUAUUUUCCGACAGUUGUGUAUCUACCACCAAGAUCCAUUUUAGAACACUUUUUUUUAACACUACAAAAGAAACUCCACAUCCGUUAGCUAUCAUCUCCCUGAAUCCCAUCCAUCCCCCUUCCCUACCCCAGCAACCAUUUAUGUAUUUUUGUCCUUAGAGAUUUUCCUAUUCUAGUAUUUUAUGUAAAUAGAAUCAUACUAAUUGGCCUUUUGUCUCGGGAUUGUUUCACUUAGCAUCAUAUUUUCAAGGUUCAUCCAUGUUGUAGGAUGAAUAAAAUUCUAUUGGGGAUAUACCAUCUCUUAUUUACCCAAUUACCACUGGUCUCAUGAAUAAGCAAACAUUGUAGACCCCAAUCUAUAUAAUCUGUCUACUAUAUGCAUUAUACAUCAAAGGUGAUCUUCAAAAUAUUCAAUAAUAGGCACUAACAAAGAAGAACAGAUGUUGUGUAAGUAUUGAAAGUGGUUCUGGAAGCCCACUUAGUGCCCAGGGACAGCCUUCAUUUGCUGAGACCCAAAAGGUUGAGGAGCAAGGUAUUCAGGGGGCCCAGGACAGAGGCUCUUUAUGAACUGUCAUGGAAACACUUCAAUUUUAAACAACUGGUGUGGCUGUAUGUGUGCAUUCAAGCUGACAUCUCCCUGGCAGAUCAGCCGUGAGGGUUAAAUGAGGCCAGGCACAUGGAGGAGCUAGGGGUUCUUAGCACAUGUAGCAAGCACAACUGUCGGCCUGAGGUCACUGUUCCUCAUUCCCUUCUAUCUUGGAUUGCUCCCCGCAGCUGAGAAAGUCCCUAUCCUAGAAGCCUAUUUUGUUAUGCACCUAAAGGGAGUCAUAAGGUCGAUGGCAUGGGCCAGGCAUCUCCCACUCAGACAUCAGAAGGAAGAUCUCUUGCCUGGUCCAAUGAUUCCUUCCCUGGCAAAACCCGGCUGGAGUUUGAUGGAACAACCUGGAUGUGAGGCCCCUGGGGUGCAGGAAAGAAAAAAUGUCAAACAAAAAUCCUAUCUUUUGGUUCCCCACUUGCCUCACAUUAGCCUUUGUUCCCAGAAUAUUCCCUGAUUCCAUCCGGAGCCUGUGGGUCACUUCCUAUCUUUGCCAUUAAGUCCCAGAAUUUAGGAGGAAACCAAGAGAAACCCAGAUAGAAAAAGUUACUUGCUGAUGAUCACAUACAGAUAGUCUGCUUGUGAAGAGCUGAGUCGAGAGCAGAGGUUUCCUGAUCACAUGCUAGAGCUUCUUGCAAUUCAGCAGCCCUGUGAGGAAAGCCAGUCUAAGAGCAUUGGCUAAAAUGACUGUUUAAUUCAGUUCAACAAAUAGUGAGUUUCACUGAGUGCCUUCUCCAUCUAGUAACGAUGCCGCACACAUGUUCUGUACUCAGCUUAUGCUCAUAAAGGAUUUCAUAUGCCCAGGCUUUUUCAGACCCCCUUGGAACCACGUACAAUUGAGGUUUUAAUUAGAGAGAACCUUGGCUGCUAGAUGAUCUGCACUGGAACUGAAUAAUAAAGUUAGAAGAUAACACUUAGGAGAAUGGACUCAAAGGAUUUAGUCUGAAGGAGAGAAAGAUGUUGUGGCAUGUUGAUGACAUUUGUGAUGUUCUAGGCAACAAAGAUUCACUAUAAAGAGAGGAGAGGGAGGCUUCUCAUUGCCCAGAGAUGGUGGAGGAAGAGAAUUGCAGUGGGGUCCAGGUGGCAUGUAAAUGAAAGUGUGACCCUUGCCGAUGAGAUUUCAUUGGUGGGCUAGGACUUAUUUUCCCAGUAAUGUUUGUCAUAAUCUCUUUCUGGGUAUUUGAAUGCACCCAGUGUUUUCCUGAAAAGAGAGGAAGGUAUUGAAUGCAAAACAGCAGAUGUUCUUGCUGAAUGAUAUGAAGGAAGUCACAGAUCACCUGAGCUGGGGCACAGUGCCACCUGCUCUACUCUUCCCACCUCUGUGUCAUUAACUGGAAUCUGUAUGGCACCCAGCCCCUAUGGGACUCUUCAAAGUGUCCAGAGUUAUAGGGGCUUUGAGAUACAAGUAACAGAUACCCAAGCUCCAAGUGGCUUAACCAAUAAUGAGAGGCAUUAUCUUCCAUCAUGGGACAUGGAGAACUGGUCAGGAUUUCAGGGUGCAAUGGUGAACUUCUUAUCAAUACUGUCUAGGCUCUGACCUCUUCAUUUCCUCAUUGCAGGUGUCUUCAGCUUUGCCUUCAUCCUAAAACUUCCCUUGAUGGUUGUAAGAUAGAAACAAAGAGCCAUUGGGGUCACAUGAAUUUUUAUUUUUAU